RNAcentral lists this ribosomal RNA (486 nucleotides) under uncultured bacterium. Its description in RNAcentral is "partial 16S ribosomal RNA". It matches the Rfam family "Bacterial small subunit ribosomal RNA", at positions 30 to 507 of the family's 1533-position model. The record is from RNAcentral.
AUUGAACGCUGGCGGCAUGCCUUACACAUGCAAGUCGAACGGCAGCACGGGUGCUUGCACCUGGUGGCGAGUGGCGAACGGGUGAGUAAUACAUAGGAACAUGUCCUGUAGUGGGGGAUAGCCCGGCGAAAGCCGGAUUAAUACCGCAUACGAUCUACGGCUGAAAGCGGGGGAACUUCGGGCCUCGCGCUAUCGGGUUGGCCGAUGGCUGAUUAGCUAGUUGGUGGGGUAAAGGCCUACCAAGGCGACGAUCAGUAGCUGGUCUGAGAGGACGAGCAGCCACACUGGGACUGAGACACGGCCCAGACUCCUACGGGAGGCAGCAGUGGGGAAUUUUGGACAAUGGGCGAAAGCCUGAUCCAGCAAUGCCGCGUGUGUGAAGAAGGCCUUCGGGUUGUAAAGCACUUUUGUCCGGAAAGAAAUCCAUGGCUCUAAUACAGUCGGGGGAUGACGGUACCGGAAGAAUAAGCACCGGCUAACUACGUG